GUUGUUGCCAUCUUGACAAAGCCCAAACUUGCCAGAUCUCAGAAGCUAAGCAGGGUUAGGCCUGGUUAAUAUUUAGAUGGGAGACUGUUGGAAAAAGCAGGUACCACU
This 108-nucleotide ribosomal RNA is filed under the name Periophthalmus magnuspinnatus. The record is from RNAcentral. Lineage: Eukaryota; Metazoa; Chordata; Actinopteri; Gobiiformes; Gobiidae.